Molecule: long non-coding RNA, 1436 nt
Organism: Episyrphus balteatus (marmalade hoverfly)
Lineage: Eukaryota; Metazoa; Arthropoda; Insecta; Diptera; Syrphidae
Exons: 3
Source: RefSeq, a predicted model, not a curated record
UUUGUAGAUUUAUAUUUGGUAAUGCAGGCUAUUUUGGUCAAUUGAUUUUAAAUGCAAAUAAAAGAUGAAAUAAAGUUAUUAUUUUAUUUGCAUUUAAAAUCAAUUGACCAAAAUAGCCUGCACAAAUAGCCACAUAAAAAUCACAUAUAAAGCCGCAUUUUGCAAUUGAAUCGAUUGUAUUGUCAUCCCUCCAUACUCUAUUAGCGACAAACCAAGUGUAAGACGCUGGAAUCAAGCAUUGGUGUAUCUUCUAACAGUGGCUUCAAAGUCAGUAUCAAUUGCUCGUAAGAAUGCAGCAUUUAAGAUUCUCGAUUCAAUGCGCAAACACUCCCUGAAAUUGGUUGAACGAGCGAUGAUGUGCAGUGAGGAAUUGAUUCGGGUGGCCAUCCUCUGGCAUGAACAAUGGGCUGAGGGACUGGAAGAGGCUUCCCGUUUGUACUUUGGUGAAAGAAAUGUAAAAGGAAUGUUUGAGAUAUUGGAACCAUUGCACAAUAUGCUUAAUUGUGGGCCACAAACAUUGAAAAAGACUACAUUCAGUCAGGCCUAUGGACGUGAAUUAACCGAAGACUACGAAUGAAGCCAGAUACAUAAGACUUCUUCAAAUUGGAUGGAUUUGGCCCAUGCAUGUUACAUAUACUAUCAUGUAUUUCGAAAAAUAUCAAGGCAACUGCCUCAGUUGACUUCAUUGGAACUGCCUUAUGUUAGUCCAAAAUUGUUGGCCUGCAAGGACUUGGAAUUUGCUGUGCCAGGAAGUUAUUAUCCAGGUCAAGAACUGAUUCGCAUUAUUCACAUUAAGAGGAACCUCCAAGUGAUAACGUCGAAGCAACGAAGAUUUGCGGCAGGAUGAACGUGUAAUGCAGUUGUUUAGUCUAGUCAAUACGUUACUGUUGGACGAUCCUGAUACGUUCCGACGUAAUUUGACUAUUCAACGUUAUACCGUCAUUGUUGUUGCUCAAGAGUCCAUCGUUGGAGGUUGGGUUUGAGCGGCGUACUAACUACACUCGAUCCCUUGCUGUUAUGUCGAUGGUGGCUGAAAUAACGAAUUCCAAAGGUCGCGUUAUUGUUGGUCGUGUGAAACGUAAACUAACAGGAAUAGAUUUCCAAAAGAAAAAUGCAGUAACUAUUCAACAAGUUGACUUGCUUAUUCAACAGGCGACAUACAACGAGAAUCUUUGUCAGUGUUAUAUUGGCUGGUGUCCACUUUGGUAAACAAAAAAAAAAAAAAGAUAACAUUACAAACUAUUGGGAUAACUGCAGUUUUUUUUUUCUUUUUGCUUUUGAACCUUUAAUGGUUUUAUUAUUUCAUUUUUUUUUUUUUAAGAUUUAUAUAUAUUUUUCUUUUUAAUUUUUACUUUAACUUUUAUACCGAUUUCUUGUGUUUGAUUGGAAGAACACUUAACGCGCUCUAAUCUAUAAGUAAGAAAAAAUUUGUUUAU